RNAcentral lists this ribosomal RNA (441 nucleotides) under uncultured bacterium. RNAcentral's name for it is "partial 16S ribosomal RNA". It matches the Rfam family "Bacterial small subunit ribosomal RNA", at positions 338 to 795 of the family's 1533-position model. The record is from RNAcentral.
CCUACGGGCGGCAGCAGUGGGGAAUAUUGGACAAUGGGGGGAACCCUGAUCCAGCGACGCCGCGUGAGUGAAGCAGUAUUUCGGUAUGUAAAGCCCUAUCAGCAGGGAAGAAAGAAGACGGUACCUGACUAAGAAGCCCCGGCUAACUACGUGCCAGCAGCCGCGGUAAUACGUAGGGGGCGAGCGUUAUCCGGAUUCACUGGGUGUAAAGGGAGCGUAGACGGCCGUGCAAGCCAGGAGUGAAAGCCCGGGGCCCAACCCCGGGACUGCUCUUGGAACUGUGCGGCUGGAGUGCGGGAGGGGCAGGCGGAAUUCCUGGUGUAGCGGUGAAAUGCGUAGAUAUCAGGAGGAACACCGGCGGCGAAGGCGGCCUGCUGGACCGCGACUGACGUUGAGGCUCGAAAGCGUGGGGAGCGAACAGGAUUAGAUACCCUUGUAGUC